ACACAAAUCCAACGUUUUCAUCUUCAGCCAUGAUAAAGCAAAUAAAACAUAAGUUUAGUUCUAAGGUUUACAUCUUAGUUCAUAAUAGAUAUGUUCUGAUUUUUUAAUCAAGUUUUGAAAUAAGAUUGCAUGUUUUUCCUAAAACUGUAUCUUUAACAAAAUUAUUUUGUAUCAACUUAGUUAUUAACCAAAUCAGUUGAUUUUUUUUCUGCUAACUUUAAAAUGUCCUUUCCAUUUUCACUCCACAGGGUCCUUUGGAUACAAGAAAAAAUUCUCUUUCAGUGUCUGAGAAUAUUUUGUAUUAACAUUUUCUUGUCAAAUUCAACUCAUAGAAAUCAGCACUGCUUCCUGAUAACAAAGAAGGAAUCCAAAACUAUCAUCAUUUCCCUUUGUAUACUUAAAAAAUAAAUGCAAGGCCUCUUCUGUUAUUGCUAUCACUGUGGAGACGAAUACUAAAAACAUUCAUAUAAACAAUAGAACGUGCAGCUUCAUCUGAAGCCAGGCUUAGAGGCGUGUAGUAAAAAGGGAGUGUCGUCUUGACCAAUGAUGAAUCACAUUGCAUGGGCCAGUGACUGCUUCAUUUUGUGUGUCGGUUUUCAAAAUAAAAGCCGAUGAGUCAUAACUGACAUGCUUCAUGGCAUGGGUUACUGUAUUUGAUUGCGCAUCAGAGGAGUAUUUGUUUUCAGCAGUGGCCAAAAUAAAAGGAACGUUUUAUAGUUUAUGUGUCAGGGUUCCUGUGUGCGUGUGUGCGAGUGCGAGCAACACAUCUCUUCCAGCGAGGAUCUUGGUGGAGAGCCUGGGCAGCCUUCACAGGUGGAGCUCAUCAGCCUCAUCAGAGUGCUGGGGAUAAAGGAGCAGCAGAGCCUUCACUCAGCGCUGGAUGAUUAACGUCUACUGGUUUUUGUCACUGGAUCUCUCUAGAAGAAUCAGUUCAACCGUUUUCUCCUCCUGUGAAACUCCCCAGCAAGUACCUACCUGCCUGCCUGCUUCAUCGUUCCCCCUCAUCUCCACACAGGACCCCUGGGCAACUUUCUUCCACGCUUCACCAAGUCCAUUCAAAAACGCCACGGAUCGCAUGACACUGCCACUCCCUGAUACAUCAAGGAAACCUGUAAAUUGUUGCUUGUUUAAAAGAAAUAAAACCUAUACCUAAUUGAACUUGUUGAUUCUGCAUGUGGGUCAGAAGAUUAAAUCCGAACAUGUCAUUAUGUAUAUUAACAAUUUUGAUGAUGGCACUCAUCAAAAUGUAAUGUUUGUUACCGGUUUUCUCAAUUGGUGAUCAUGGUGUAUUUUAUUACUUUUUAUUUGUGUGUUUUUAUUAUGUAAAGCACUCUGAAACUGCAUUGUUGCUGAAAUGUGCUACACAAAUAAACUUGAUUGAAAUGGAGCCAGGAAGAAGAAAAAAAUUGACAUCUGGGAAUACUUCGAGAUGAUCACUCACAACAUUCUUAAAUAAAAAUAAUUAACCCCUUCCCCUCCAAAAUU
This is a long non-coding RNA of Xiphophorus couchianus (Monterrey platyfish), 1485 nucleotides long. RefSeq lists it as uncharacterized. NCBI's taxonomy places the organism in Eukaryota, Metazoa, Chordata, Actinopteri, Cyprinodontiformes, Poeciliidae. The record is from RefSeq and is a predicted model, not a curated record. The transcript is spliced from 3 exons.